GACGAACGCUGGCGGCGUGCUUAACACAUGCAAGUCGAACGAAGUGGCGAACGGGUGAGUAACGCGUAAUCAACCUGCCCUUCAGAGGGGGACAACAGUUGGAACCGACUGCUAAUACCGCAUACUGAAGGCGGGGAUUGCGUCUGAUUAGCUAGUUGGAGGGGUAACGGCCAACCAGGGCGAUGAACAGUCGCCGGUCUGAGAGGAUGAACGGCCACAUUGGGACUGAGAAACGGCCCAGAAUCCUACGGGAGGCAGCAGUGGGGAAUCUUCCGAAAUGGACGAAAGUCUGACGGAGCAACGCCGCGUGAGUGAUGACGGCCUUCGGGGUGUAAAGCUCUGUUAAUCGGGACGCGGUACCGGAAUAGAAAGCCACGGCUAACUACGUGCCAGCAGCCGCGGUAAUUC
Molecule: ribosomal RNA, 408 nt
Filed under: uncultured bacterium
Lineage: Bacteria
Description: partial 16S ribosomal RNA
Rfam family: Bacterial small subunit ribosomal RNA
Source: RNAcentral